Molecule: ribosomal RNA, 383 nt
Filed under: uncultured eukaryote
Lineage: Eukaryota
Description: partial 18S ribosomal RNA
Rfam family: Eukaryotic small subunit ribosomal RNA
Source: RNAcentral
CAAUAGCGUAUAUUAAAGUUGUUGCAGUUAAAAAGCUCGUAGUUGGAUUUCUGGUGGGAGCGAUCGGUCUGGCGCUUAGCGCGAGUACUUGCAUCGUCUCCGGCCAUCCUUGGGGAAAGUCUGUCUGGCAUUAAGUUGUCGGGCAGAGGAUCCUCAUCGUUUACUGUGAAAAAAUUAGAGUGUUCAAAGCAGGCUUAUGCCGUUGAAUAUAUUAGCAUGGAAUAAUAAGAUAGGACUUUGGUACUAUUUUGUUGGUUUGCGCACCAAAGUAAUGAUUAAUAGGGACAGUUGGGGGUAUUCGUAUUCCGUUGUCAGAGGUGAAAUCCUUGGAUUUACGGAAGACGAACUACUGCGAAAGCAUUUACCAAGGAUGUUUUCAUUAA